AUGGUUUCGUGAUAGCACAAUAAUCACCAGAAUAACUAUAGUUGUACCACUGUAAUGAUAGUGUUUUAAUGUGCUUUUAUAUGACAUAUUUCACAGUAAUCACAUUUACUGUACCAUGCUUGUAAUACCUUUUUAAUGUAAAUCAAAAAAAAAAAAAAAAAAACAUUUUUCCCAUCUUGCAGUUCAUUCAUAUUAGUUUAUAUCUUAAAUAUUUUGCUCACAGAUCACUAUUAACAUUCUGUAUAUAAUUCUGUUUUAUUUUCUCUCCCCUUGUAUUUAUUUUUUAGCUGAAAAGACGUAAAGGAAGCAGUCAGCCCAGUGGUGUUUGUGAAGAGGUAUUCCUUCAGAAAUGGAGAAGGCAGAAAGCUGCAGAGGCAGUAUUGUUUGCAGAUAAUGCUGCUCUUCUUUUCCAGAAGUUUUUGGUGAGCCAACCCUCACACACCUUCCUAAAAACUAAAAGAGCUAUUACUGAGUCUCAGCGAAUCUUGCCAUGAUCAGCUCUUCCCAGAAGAUAAGGAAGACCAAGGAAAUGAUUUGAUCAGGAUGAGGAAUGAAGACGGCCAUCUUGUGCUCAAGCAAACAGAAGUCCUCUGAUGGUCUCAUCAGCCAAAUGAGGGGUUUUGACCAAGUGAUGCUCUUGAAAGGAGUGAAAGAAGAGGAUGUGGUAAAUUGUCUUCAGAGAAAAAGCUUCUCAAAAGGUCUCAAAACAGCUUGAAGAAUGGUCUGGGAUGUUAGGACUGAGAGAUCCUCUGGCUGAGAACAAGCUACACCACAUCAGUGCUGGAUAUCAACCACAAACUGUUUCCAGACACAAGAGAAGAAGAUCAUGACAUGAAACCAGUUUAGAUGUGAUGAUGGGAAUCAUUAUUUUCUGAAACCGUGUCAAAUGUCUUAUAUGUAUCACAUGAUCUGUGUCAGUUGACUGGAUGGGAUUGUGUGUCUUUUAAGGACAUUUCAUCACUCAUCUGUGUGAACUGAUUAAUAUAUGAGGUUAAUGUAUUUUUUAU
Carassius carassius (crucian carp) is the source of this 1007-nucleotide long non-coding RNA. RefSeq lists it as uncharacterized. The record is from RefSeq and is a predicted model, not a curated record. Lineage: Eukaryota; Metazoa; Chordata; Actinopteri; Cypriniformes; Cyprinidae. The transcript has 5 exons.